AUUGAACGCUGGCGGCAUGCUUUACACAUGCAAGUCGAACGGUAGAGGGGGCAACCCCUUGAGAGUGGCGAACGGGUGAGUAAUGCAUCGGAACGUGCCCAGUCGUGGGGGAUAGCCCGGGUAAACCCGGAUUAAUACCGCAUACGACCUGAGGGUGACAGCGGGGGACCGACAGGCCUCGCGCGAUUGGCGCGGCCGAUGUCGGAUUAGGUAGUUGGUGGGGUAAAGGCCUACCAAGCCUGCGAUCCGUAGCUGGUCUGAGUGGACGACCAGCCACACUGGGACUGAGAGACGGCACAGACUCCUACGGGAGGCAGCAGUGGGGAAUCUUGGACAAUUGGCGCAAGGCUGAUCCAGCCAUGCCGCGUGCGGGAAGAAGGCCUUCGGGUUGUAAACCGCUUUUGUCAGGGAAGAAAUCCUUUGGACUAAUACUCUGGGGGGAUGACGGUACCUGAAGAAUAAGCACCGGCUAACUACGUGCCAGCCGCCGCAGUAA
RNAcentral lists this ribosomal RNA (496 nucleotides) under uncultured bacterium. RNAcentral describes it as "partial 16S ribosomal RNA". It matches the Rfam family "Bacterial small subunit ribosomal RNA", at positions 29 to 523 of the family's 1533-position model. The record is from RNAcentral.